AACUGACAUAUGCAAAACGUUCCACGUUUUAAUUAAGAGAUCAGAGCUCCUACCUUCGGGUAGCUGCUCAUCAAGCUGCUGCACGGCUUUAUGUUCUUAUGUUAUGUAAAUUGGAUUAUUUUAAAGGAAGUUUGAAAUGAGGCUCGACUCCUGAAUUAUCCUCCUGGUUUUGUCACUGGUCUAUUUAACAAAAUGCAAAGGGGAUAUGUAAAUCAAGCCACACCUGUUUCACACAUGAUAGACUUUACCUGAUUAAAGGAGACUGAAGCUUUCUGAGUUCCUGUGAUGAAAAAUACCAGGAACUAUCACUGCUAUUAUAUAUAUAUUUACAUUUAUCCAGAAGCAUGAACGUCAAGAAUUGGGAAGUUUACUCAGGAGUGACUAAAGCAGAAGGAAAUGGGCAAGGGACUUUACAGAGUUUCUUGGUCUGUUGAGAUAUGCCAACAUGCAGAGUCCCAUCAGCAAUGCUGCUAUGAGUCCCAGGAUUUUACAGCAUUAGCAAAUGCUUACUGUGGAAGUAAGCGUUGGCUAACACUGGCCUCGUGUACGUCUGUGAACUUUUGAACUUUUUGCACCAGUCAAUGACCAAGGCAAGAGUAAAGAGCCGCUGUGUCCUAAGAGCUGAACACCGUAAUUGCAAGGAUUGCAGUGACGACACUUACAUCCAGAGCUGGAGUGGGAAGCUCUGAACUGAUGGUUAUGACUCACGAGGAACUGAUUUUUUUCUUGCUAUGAGCUAGCUUAAUGACAACAUAAAAGCAAAUAUUCUGGAGAUUAGGAGAGUCAACGAAAAGAUCCAUGUUCUCAAAUGGAGCCUUUGGCUGUGACACGCAAAUCAAGGAGGAAUUCAAAGCUUUGCAGACAAGUGGCUUUUCACAGAAUACAACAUAAAACAUAUAUAUGUAUAUAUCGUUUGCCAUGCUUCCUGCAAUGUAGAUAAUGUAUAGUGAAAACAUAAGAACUGGGGGCCUUUCAGUACCAGUGGGCAGAUGGAGAUUUUCUACCAAAAAGUGCCUCUAAACAUAGCUGCAUUUCCCCUUGUUCGAGGUCAAAAGACAUGAUCAGCUUUUCAA
This is a long non-coding RNA of Anas platyrhynchos (mallard), 1073 nucleotides long. RefSeq lists it as uncharacterized. The record is from RefSeq and is a predicted model, not a curated record. Lineage: Eukaryota; Metazoa; Chordata; Aves; Anseriformes; Anatidae.